AUUUAUUGAGCAUUUACUUCGUUGGGCUUUGAACCCAACAGACGAGUUUCAGCCAUCCUGAGCCCACACAAACAUCCCGAAGUAUAAAGCCAGGGAGGAUUUCAAGUUAGGCACAGGUGAAGGUAUAUAUGGCUGUUGUGUGCGGUUCUCUUUGAUCAUAGAUGCUGAUUGUAUGAAACCAUUACCUUAUAACAUUUAAAGAUAUCAGAGUGUAAACCUUCAAAUAAAUCAAUACAGGUUAUAAGGAGGAUAGAUUUUCUGUGUCCAACCUGACAUUAUUGGAUUCAACAGUGAAUCUUCAAAUAUGUCUAUACAUUCUUUGUUACUAUGUUUCAUGAUAUUAAAAAAAAGGAACUAGUAAGUUGAAAAAAGUACUUCCAAGGAUGUAAACAUGAAGAUAUUUUAGUAAAGAAAGAUCUCUCUUCAUAUGGUAAGACUGUCCUACCAGAGCACCUACAUGGUGGCUCACAAUCCUAACUCCAGUCCCAGAGGAUACAUCGCCCUCUUCUGGCCUCCUUGGACACUGCAUGCACAUGGUAAACAGGCAUACAUGCAGGCAAAACAUCCAUACACAUAAACAUAAAAAUAAAUACAAAACAAGUUUUUAAAAAUUAAAAAAGGACUUUGCCCUAGAGUGUGAUGGCUGGAUUUUUCCCAAAUGAGAUUGAUUAAUACACAUGUCACAGAAAGACCUGGGCAAAUUGCAUGAGGUUUAUAAAGGAUGAGACUAGCCAGAGGACCAGGCAAUCUGCUGUGAGACUGUUUCCUUGAAAUGAUAGGAAGGCAGCUGGGAGGUGUUAAUCCCAGCAGAGACAGGCUGAUUAUUUUUUAAGGUUUUUAUUUAUUUAUUUAUCAUGUGUACAACAUUCUGCUUCCAUGUAUAUCUGCACACCAGGAGAGGGCACCAGAUCUCAUAAGGGAUGGUUGUGAGCCACCACGUGAUUGCUGGGAAUUGAACUCAGGACCUCUGGAAGAGCAGUCGGUGCUCUUAACCUCUGAGCCAUCUCUCCAGUCUGACAGGCUGGUCUUUAUGAGUUCCUAGUCCACAAAUCAAGUUCCAUGCCAGCAGGGGUCAUACAGUGAGACAUGGUCUCAAAAUCAAAUGAACAAAUAAGUAGAUAAUAAACAAAUAAAAUUUCCAUUUCUGAGGGACAUACAUAUACUUUUUCCUUACCCCAUACAUCAUAACAAUUAUUGGCAGCAUUUACAUUGUGGUGGUAUUACAGGUAACCUAGGGGUGGCUGAAAGCCUGAGAGAGGGUGUGCAUCUGCCACACUCAAACACUUCAGCAUCUUAUAUUGAAUUGCCCAAAGUAACUCCAUUCUGACCCAGUUUUAGUGCACCUAGACGUUCCCCAACCCCCUGCUAAGUACAUCCUCUAUUCUCAUGUUGCCACAGCUGUAGCUUCCAGGGGUCUGCUGUUGUACAACACAAAACAAAUUGUUUUAGUCGGAAUACAACCUGUCUGGCUAUAAACAGGAAUGGAUGGCUGUUGGCCAGGUCAGGACCUAUGAGCCCUAAACAAGGCGACUGUUAUCCCACACCCAGUGGUCUGUAGCCUCUGCCCUCUCUGGAGUCUCAUCCCUGCUGAUGCUGCAUUCAUCAUGUGUCUGGAUGCCUUUUUUUUUUUUUUUGGUUUUUCGAGACAGGGUUUCUCUGUGGCUUUGGAGGCUGUCCUGGAACUAGCUCUUGUAGACCAGGCUGGUCUCCAACUCACAGAGAUCCACCUGCCUCUGCCUCUCAGUGCUGGGAUUAAAGGCGUGCACCACCAAUGCCAAGCAUGGAUGCCUUUUUCUGUAUCCACCUGGCCCCUCAGAGCCAACCAAUCCUCACCUUCCAAUAGAAGAAACCUGAAAAGGAUGACAAGGGCCAGUUAAUGUGGACUAGACUGCCUCAAUGAUUCAAAACUUCUCAAACUAUUUUUGGCACUGAGGUAGCCUCUGAUUUAAAAGCCUUCCCAGCAGAUCAGCAUGGCUGAACUCUGCUCCAGUGGGUAGAUGAGCUACUGCUGGCCAGACAGGUGCAGGAAGAUUAUGGAGAAUGAAAACAACUGCUCUGUACCCUUCUGUGGGAGGUGGCUACAUGAUUUGAAAGAAAACAGAUGCAAAUCUGUCAAGAAAAAGUCAAAUGCCUUGGUUCUCACCUAUCCCAAGAGGAGCAUUGACUCAGCCCAGCUGUUGGUUAUCGAGGUUUCAUCGACCUAACUCUAGGUUUGGGAGUUCCUCAGGGCCACAGAUUUUGGUAGAAUCUGAAUAUCUAAUUUCCCUGUCUUGUCAAAAUGACUAUAUGAGACCACAAAGGAAGAGAGCAAGACCCUCUGCCAUAGGAACAAGCACAACAGAAGGCUUUUGAAGAUAUUAAGAAAGUCCUCACUGAUGUGUCUGACCUUAGGACAUUCAGACUUGUCUACACACACUCGUGUGCAUGCAUGAACAUGUUGGCAUUAGGAUGGGUGGAGUUCCUUCCACAAAUGUUGGUGUCGUGGCAUUGCCUAGUGGCAUACCUUUCCAAUCAACUCCAUUCCCCAAGCCUGGCCACCCUGGCUCCUAGGCACUCACUGUCAUUGCCAUCCUAGUGUUAGAGGCUGACAGAUUGACUAUGGGAAAAGAAUUAAUAGUCUUAGUGCCACACCCAGUACUGACAUUAAUGGAGUGCAAGGGACAAUACUGGCUAACUAAUGCCUGGAUGGUCAAGUACCAGGAAAUGUGUGAGAACCUGAAUAUUCACCUAGAAGUAGUGUGGACCUCAAACUCUAGUAGACCCUAGUAUUUGUUGAUCUAGACCAGCAAGACCAUGACUGCAUCAAAGUCACGGAUGAGGUAUUUUCUUACCAAUUGAACUUAACUCUCAAGGACCCUGGAUGCUGAGUAUUUGACAAAUGGUAGCAGUUUUGUGAUAGGGAGAAUAUCUUUCACGAUACUUCAUUGUCAACUUGAGUUCCAUCAUUGAGAUGAAAUCUCUGCCAAAGGCAACCUCAGCACAAAAGGCAGAACUCAUCUCACUGACCUGAGCCCUGCUAUUGGCAGCAGGGAUGUGUGUCAGUAUACACAUAUACUCUCAAAUAUGCCUUCACCACUGUCCACAUACAUGAGACUUUAAAGACUACAAAGUGCCUAGUCAACUCAGUGGUGGCUCACACCUUUAAUCCCAGCACUUGGGAGGCAGAGGCAGGUUGAUCUCUGUGAGUUCCAGGACAGCCAGGGCUACAUAGUGAGACCCUGUCUCCUAGCUGGCCAGCUCUUGAGGCCACAUUAGGCUGACAUUUCUACAUCCCUUGACUCCACAGUUUAGCCCAGGUGUGCAGACCAUGUGAAUCAUGUUCCUGAAAUAACCUACACUGGGGAUCUAAGUUCUUUUCUAGGGUACAGAGUGUUGGAGGAGUCCCAUUUGAAAACUGACUUGUGAACUUCACUGAGCUUCCUCAAUCUUUGACUGCAAGUAUCUAUUACUCUUUAUGUAUGCAUUCUCAGGCUGGGUAGAGGCCUUCUUUACUAAUGAAGAGAAGGUGCACCGUCUCCUAAAGAAAAUCAUUCCCAGAUUUGGGAUCCCAAUCAUCAAAGAGUCUGGUAAUGGGUUAAUGUUUGGGGUGGCACAAUUGGUGGCAAAGGGGUUGAAGAUCACCUGGACACCACAUACUGUCCCAGAGCUCUGGGAAGAUGGAAUGAAUGAAACUGCAGCUGAACAAAAAACCAUGAGGGGAAACCUACCUGUACUAGGACCAGCUAUUGCCUAUUACUUUGUUGAGUAUUAGGUCUAGCCAUACUGGACAGACAGGGUUCUCCAUUAUCCUUUGUGGAUUCCUGUCUCUAAUACAGAGCUGUGUAGCAUUGCUCUGAGAUGACAAUUGUCGACUCUUGGUUUGUCCCUGAUUAUUGUACACCAUCGAGUUAGGGGGUGGUUACCUGCCAGCUUGAGCACAGAUGGUCACCUCUCUAAACCAGGACAUUCCGUAUGGGUAAAAGGAAGGAAUAUCUAACCCUCUCGUCCCUUUGAAUGGGUCCGUUCACUGUCACUUUGUCCAUGCCUAUUGCAGUAAAGGUGGUCCCCUAAGUUCCCCACAGCAGAGUGAAACCGGCCUCUGGAGACUGGGAAUGCACUUAAUGAUUCAUCAAUAAUAUGACUCACUCAUACAAGCUGACCAGCUGGAGGAAGAGAGCUGCGAUGCCAGAUACCCUGGAGGGCUGCUGCCCCACUUGAGUCACUCCAGAGGCUGACUAAUCUGUGUGUGACAGAAACUUGAGGGAUUGGCCAUCUGGUGGCAUAGACUGUUCCUGUUUCCGGUAUCAGUUCUUACUGUGAUACAUUGCCAUCCUUUGUCCCUGAUCUGUUGCUGUGAUCCUUGCCCUAACCUUUGCCAUAGGGCUGGCAGAGACCACUCUAGUCAACUAGAUAUGUGGUGAAUGGCUUCUGUUGGUGUUCUUUUUCCUCUUGUGGGCAGGAUAAUUCAUUGCUGGCUGCUACCCUUCUGGGCUUUGUUUUUAGACUUAAGUGUGUCUCCUGCAAGCUGUACCACUUGACAUGACCAGAAGGACAUCAUGAAAACCUUACUCUAUCACACCCAUUUCACUGGCCAAGGAAAGGUCUUAGGGCCCUACAGACAUGAUAAGACCACUAUUCCAUCUGCCAACUGGGAGAUCAAUAUACCUGUCUCAACCCACAGUACUCCCCCAUUGAGAAGUACAUAGAAGUCUGGAAAUGGUCCAGUGGAACCAGACUAACUGAAUCCAAGUUAUUGACCCAAAACAGCCAGCAUCCUUAUAUUUUGACAUGUGUGGCACCAUAAGUCACACCCAGUCAACUUAUAGUGAAUCAUGUGUGACUCUAUAUUGGGAACUAGAGUACAGACUUAAUGGAAGCUCCUUAACCAGGAAGGUAAACAACUCAACAUAGCUUCAGAAAGUUCCUGAAACAGACCAGAUUUACUAGGCCCCUUGCUCCUAGAGUAAGUAGUAAAGACUGCUGAGGAUCUCAGACAAGCCAAGCUGAAAAGAAAACAGACCAGACCAACUGCCUGGAAGAGGGUAGAACAGCUGAGCUCGAUGGAAAGGACAUUUUCCAGUCUUUUGAGUUGCCUCCAGGCUGUGCAAUGCACUCCAGGUUCCGGUUUUGUGAGCUGUCACUGAUACUGGGCUGGGCUUUGGUGAUACAGCUGUCUUUGAAUCAUUUCUGCUCCUGUAGGUAAACCCCUCAACUCCUGUAAACAACCCCAAUAAAACUCAUUGGUUCACAAAGUUGAA
Non-coding RNA from Cricetulus griseus (Chinese hamster), 5237 nucleotides. The record is from RefSeq and is a predicted model, not a curated record. Lineage: Eukaryota; Metazoa; Chordata; Mammalia; Rodentia; Cricetidae.